Molecule: long non-coding RNA, 335 nt
Organism: Canis lupus familiaris (dog)
Lineage: Eukaryota; Metazoa; Chordata; Mammalia; Carnivora; Canidae
Exons: 3
Source: RefSeq, a predicted model, not a curated record
AUUUGUGGCCUUAUAAGAAGAAGCAGAGAGAAAUUCUCUCCCCACAGCAUAAUGACACAGCCAGAAAAUGGCCAUCUGUGAACUAGGAAGAGAAAGAAUCCUCACUAGAGCUUAACCCUGCUAGCACUGUGAUCUCAAAUUUCCAGCCUCCAUAAUUCUGAAACAUCUGUGCCUGAGCCAUCACCAUACUGCAUUCAGAGAGUAAUCAAAACUAGUUCCAGUGCAUUGAAGAAAGGAUUUCUGAAUCAAUGGAAAUUAAGAAUGGCUGCUAUGUCACAGAGAGAGAGAGAGAGAGAGAGGCAGAGACACAGGCAGAGGGAGAAGCAGGCUCCAUG